Hippoglossus stenolepis (Pacific halibut) is the source of this 1198-nucleotide long non-coding RNA. RefSeq lists it as uncharacterized. NCBI's taxonomy places the organism in Eukaryota, Metazoa, Chordata, Actinopteri, Pleuronectiformes, Pleuronectidae. The transcript is spliced from 3 exons. The record is from RefSeq and is a predicted model, not a curated record.
UGUCAUUGUUGGUCACUUCAAUCUUGUGAUUGUGUGCACCUGACCUCAUGUGUUUCACCUGGGUUCAGUUAUUCUGUCUGUGUCAGGUCGUCUCUUCACUUUGGUUCUGUUCAGUCCAGCUCCUGUGUCUCUGUUUUGAGUUUCAGCUCUUGGAUCACCUGAGUUCUCUAACCAGCCUUCUGAGUAUUUUGACCCGACAACUGAUGAACUUCCUUCUAUGAAACUGCAGUUCAUGCCUCCGCCACUGAGGGUGCAGAGAGGGACAUUGCACUCGCAAUCAUGGGGAUAUACACUAUCCGAAGAGAUGGAGAUGUGGAGCCAGAGGACGUGGGAAUCGUGAUUGAAGGCAUCAAAGUCAUGGACAACUUAGGAAGGGUGAUAAUGGGGUUCAUCAUGCUGUUUGGGCUCAUUAAUGCUUUGAUCUGAGCUUUCCAGACAACCUCAAGUACACUUUCCAGUUUAUUCAGAAAUGAAUUUGAAUGGGCACAAGCUCAAUGCAAAGAUACAGCAGCUGAAAAUAAAGCUUGCAUGAGCGGGAAACACAGCCGACAAAGUUCUGCGACCUCAGUGAUGUUUUCCUGGGUCCGACAUUUUUAAUGACUGGAUUUCCAUAAGCUGGGAGAAGUAUGUUCACAUAAGGAAAUUUUGUCCACGUAACUUCCCCUUUCCAUCUAUGUGACUUUGUCUCUGCUCUACACCACUUUUGUACUGCUGCCUUGUCACCUUCAUGACUCUCAACUCAGGCCAAAUGGACAUAAACACGAUUUUACUGUAGUUUUCUUUGGUUGUGAAUGACCUCUUAAUGCUGCCAGUCACUCUGUUACAGAUUAGAAGCUACAUUUAAAUUACUGCUUUAAUGAGUUAUAAUGAGUUAAAACCGGAUUCUGUUUUUUUACAAAUUUAUUGCCUUGUUGUUUUUGGGACUGGGGGAUUGCUAGGCAUUUAUUUUUCACCAGCUACAGAGCUGGGCAUGAGAGUCAAACUGGUGAAUGGCUAUUUCUGAACAAUUGUGAUCAAUAUUGCUAGAUGCAUGGACCCAAGGGGAGACAUUACUCUGUAAAUUGGCUUCUUUAUGGCUGUAUGGAUGUCAUGUUGAAUAUUAGGAGAACACUGUAGUUUUCUUGGCCUCUUAAUGCUGCAAGUCACUCUGCUACAGAGCUGUUAAGAUUACCAUUUGUUUCCAGUGCACUUCAAAAGG